UCCGGUUUGUCACCGGCAGUCUCAUUAGAGUGCUCAACUGAAUGUAGCAACUAAUGACAAGGGUUGCGCUCGUUGCGGGACUUAACCCAACAUCUCACGACACGAGCUGACGACAGCCAUGCAGCACCUGUGUUCAGGUUCCCUUUCGGGCACCGCUGCAUUUCUGCAGCGUUCCUGACAUGUCAAGGGUAGGUAAGGUUUUUCGCGUUGCAUCGAAUUAAACCACAUCAUCCACCGCUUGUGCGGGCCCCCGCCGUCAGUUGUACUUUUCUGACGGGACCGCUGGGAUAAACCCAGAGGAAGGUGGGGAUGACGUUACCUU
RNAcentral lists this unclassified non-coding RNA (322 nucleotides) under uncultured Gammaproteobacteria bacterium. RNAcentral's name for it is "contains 16S-23S intergenic spacer region". The record is from RNAcentral. Lineage: Bacteria; Pseudomonadati; Pseudomonadota; Gammaproteobacteria.